UGCGCAGGCGGAUUAAUAAGUCGGGGGUUAAAUCCAUGUGCUUAACACAUGUACGGCUUCCGAUACUGUUGAUCUAGAGUCUCGAAGAGGAAGGUGGAAUUUCCGGUGUAACGGUGGAAUGUGUAGAUAUCGGAAAGAACACCAGUGGCGAAGGCAGCCUUCUGGUCGAGUACUGACGCUCAUGCACGAAAGCGUGGGGAGCAAACA
Molecule: ribosomal RNA, 207 nt
Filed under: uncultured Chlorobaculum sp.
Lineage: Bacteria; Pseudomonadati; Chlorobiota; Chlorobiia; Chlorobiales; Chlorobiaceae
Description: partial 16S ribosomal RNA
Rfam family: Bacterial small subunit ribosomal RNA
Source: RNAcentral